AAAUGCGUUUCCGGUGGGGUGGGCGGGGCUUCGCGUCUCCUUCUACGGAUAUCUGUGGACCUUAUGGAAGCAAAGACUCUUGGAAUUGUAACGCCCAGAAAACCUGUCUUAUCUGUCAGUGCAAGAAAAAUUAAGGACAAUGCGGCUGAUUGGCACAAUUUAAUCCUGAAGUGGGAAACCCUCAAUGAUGCAGGUUUUACCACUGCAAAUAAUAUUGCCAACUUGAAAAUCAGUUUAUUGAAUAAAGACAAGAUAGAACUAGACAGCAGCAGCCCAUCCUCGAAGGAAAAUGAAGAAAAGGUGUGUCUGGAAUAUAACGAGGAACUGGAGAAGCUGUGUGAGGAACUGCAGGCCACCUUGGAUGGACCAAAAUACAGGUGAAAAUGGAAAAGCUGUCUUCAACUACCAAGGGAAUUUGUGAACUAGAAAACUACCAUUAUGGGGAGGAGAGUAAACGACCCCCUCUGUUCCACACGUGGCCUACAACCCAUUUCU
Molecule: small RNA, 495 nt
Filed under: Pan troglodytes (chimpanzee)
Lineage: Eukaryota; Metazoa; Chordata; Mammalia; Primates; Hominidae
Description: processed transcript
Source: RNAcentral